UUAUACAGCGAAACUGCGAAUGGCUCAUUAUAUAAGUUAUCUUUUAUUUGAUAGUGCCUUACUACUUGGAUAACCGUGGUAAUUCUAGAGCUAAUACAUGCUAAAACCCCGACUUCGGAAGGGGUGUAUUUAUUAGAUACAAAACCAAUGCCCUUCGGGGCUCUUUGGUGAUUCAUGAUAACUAUACGAAUCGCACGGCCUUGCGCCGGCGAUGGUUCAUUCAAAUUUCUUCCCUAUCAACUUUCGAUGUUUGGGUAUUGGCCAAACAUGGUUGCAACGGGUAACGGAGGGUUAGGGCUCGACCCCGGAGAAGGAGCCUGAGAAACGGCUACUACAUCCAAGGAAGGCAGCAGGCGCGCAAAUUACCCAAUCCCGACUCGGGGAGGUAGUGACAAUAAAUACUGAUACAGGGCCCUUUCGGGCCUUGUAAUUGGAAUGAGUACAAUUUAAAUCCGUUAACGAGGAACAAUUGGAGGGCAAGUCUAGUGCCAGCAGCCGCGCUAAUUCCAGCCCCAAUAGCCUAUAU
RNAcentral lists this ribosomal RNA (526 nucleotides) under uncultured eukaryote. RNAcentral's name for it is "SSU rRNA". It matches the Rfam family "Eukaryotic small subunit ribosomal RNA", at positions 74 to 604 of the family's 1831-position model. The record is from RNAcentral.